CCGCUCUUCCCGGCUCCCAGAGGCCCAGAUUGGGACAGAGGGGCGGGUGCAAUCUGCAUGCGCAUGCACGCUCCGGCCUCCAUGGACCAAGAUGGCGCCGGUGGAGCACGUUGUAGCCGAUGCAGGGGCUUUCCUGCGGGACGCGGCUCUGCAGGACAUCGGGAAGAACAUCUACACCAUUCGGGAUGUGGUCAGCGAGAUUCGGGAUAAGGCCACGCGCAGGCGGCUCGCAGUCCUGCCCUACGAGCUACGUUUCAGGGAGCCCUUCCCGGAAUACGUGCGGCUGGUGACUGAGUUUUCAAAGAAAACUGGAGACUAUCCCAGCCUCUCUGCCACAGAUAUCCAAGUACUGGCACUUACCUACCAGCUGGAAGCAGAGUUUGUUGGGGUGUCUCACCUAAAACAAGAACCAGAAAAGGUUAAAGUGAGUUCAUCAAUUCAGCACCCAGAAACUCCUCUACACAUUUCUGGUUUCCAUCUGCCCUCAAAGCCUAAAUCCGCACGAGGAACAGUAGAACGUGGACACCCAGUCGGUGAGCCUGAGGACCUAGAAUUCAGUUCCUUUGUGUUCUGGAGAAAUCCUUUGCCUAAUAUUGAUCAUGAACUUCAGGAGCUGCUGAUUGACAAAGGUGAGGCUAUUCCAAGUGAGGAAGAGAACGAAGAGAAUGGAUUUGAAGAAAGGAAGGACCAAGACAGUGAUGAUGACGGGGGUGGGUGGAUAACCCCCAGCAACAUCAAGCAGGUCCACCAGGAGAUGAAGCAGUGUGCCAUCCCGAAGGAUGUGCGGGUCGGCUGUGUGACUACAGACUUCGCCAUGCAGAAUGUCCUGCUCCAGAUGGGGCUGCAUGUGCUGGCCGUGAACGGCAUGCUGAUCCGCGAGGCCCGGAGCUACAUCUUGCGCUGCCACGGCUGUUUCAAGACAACAUCUGACAUGAGCAGAGUGUUCUGUGCACAGUGUGGAAACAAGACACUGAAGAAGGUGUCUGUGACCGUCAGCGACGAUGGAACCCUGCGCAUGCACUUUUCCCGCAACCCUAAGGUGCUGAAUCCUCGGGGCCUCCGGUAUUCACUCCCCACUCCCAAAGGGGGCAAGUACGCCAUCAACCCCCACCUGACCGAGGACCAGCGCUUCCCUCAGCUGCGACUUUCCCGAAAGGCCAGGCAGAAAACUGACGUGUUUGCCCCUGACUACAUAGCUGGGGUGUCUCCCUUUGCAGAGAAUGAUAUCUCCAGCCGGUCAGCUACCUUGCAGGUCCGAGACAGCACCUUGGGAGCCGGCAGGAGACGGUUAAAUCCCAAUGCUUCCAGAAAGAAGUUUGUGAAGAAAAGGUGAAGCGUGAGCUCCACAGGCAAGCUGGACUGAUGCUGUGACUGCCCAGGAGACCCAUGUCUCAGGUCCCCAGCUGUGCCAACUCCACAACCACUUGGACACAGAAGAGGCCUGGCUUCCAUAGUGCUGCCCCAGGACUCACUGUGGUGCCUCGGGUUGGGUUUGUGGUGGAACCUGCCAUCCCUUGGCCUGUGUGUAUCCAGGAGGUUUAUGUGAACAUUGUGACCUGACCUACUUGGACAUGAACAGCUGCAAGAGCAAAGGAUUCCAGCACCAAGAAGUUUGCAACAACCAGCCACACCCCUUCCCUCUUUAGUAUAAAAGAAGCCUGAAUUCUGACUCAGGCUGUGCAGUAUGUGGGAUCUUAGUUCCCUGACCAGGGAUUGAACUUGUGCCCCCUGCAGUGGAAGUGCAGAGUCUUAAUCACUGGACCGCCAGGGAAGUCCCUGAGUUCUCUUUCUUUGUCACUGUUUCUGAGGGCCGUGGUUCCCUGAGCAGAGAUCAAACCCGUGCCCACUGCAGUGGAAGUGUGGAGUCUUAACCACUGGACCAGCAGGGAAGUCCCAUGAUGCCUUAUUUUAAUUUGCUUUUCCUUGCAGGCCUGACAGGGCACGUUCUCAUUUGUUUAUUGUUGUUUGCAAUUUCCUUCCCUGAAUCAUAUCCUUGACUUUUUCUUCUACUGCAUUGUCUUUUCCUAAUUAUUUGUAGGCAUUCUUUAGGAUGUUAACUCUUUGUGAUGAGUUCUGGAUAUCUUCUCCUGAUUGUCUUUUGCUUCUGUUUAUGGGACCUUUUGUUAAAUACAAAUUUUUGAUGUUUAUGUGGCUUUAUCUCUCAGGCUUUUCCUUCAUGGUUUCUGAAUCUCUAGUCUUUCUUAAAAGGUAGCCUCUGUCCAGAGGUUAUACAAAUUCUCCCUUUCAUCCCAUACUAUUCUUUUUUUUUUUUUUAAAGGUUUUUAAAAUAACAUUUAUGGGGCUUCCCUGGUGGCGCAGUGG
RNA transcript from Delphinapterus leucas (beluga whale), 2322 nucleotides. It is a transcript of the gene named NIN1 (RPN12) binding protein 1 homolog, with no coding region annotated. NCBI's taxonomy places the organism in Eukaryota, Metazoa, Chordata, Mammalia, Artiodactyla, Monodontidae. The record is from RefSeq and is a predicted model, not a curated record.